RNAcentral lists this microRNA (22 nucleotides) under Dasypus novemcinctus (nine-banded armadillo). RNAcentral describes it as "dno-miR-135b-3p". Its record names the gene dno-miR-135b-3p. The record is from miRBase by way of RNAcentral. Lineage: Eukaryota; Metazoa; Chordata; Mammalia; Cingulata; Dasypodidae.
ACGUAGGGCUAAAAGCCAUGGG